AACACAUGCAAGUCGAGGGGCAGCGAGUCUAGCUUGCUAGAUGUCGGCGACCGGCGCACGGGUGCGCACCGCGUAUGGAACCUACCUUGUACAGGGGAAUAGCCCAGGGAAACUUGGAUUAAUGCCCCGUGGUACUGUUGAUCGGCAUCGAUCGGCAGUUAAAGCCUUCGGGCGGUACAAGAUGGCCAUGCGUCCCAUUAGCUUGUUGGUAAGGUAACGGCUUACCAAGGCUACGAUGGGUAGGGGCCCUGAGAGGGGGAUCCCCCACACUGGUACUGAGACACGGACCAGACUCCUACGGGAGGCAGCAGUGAGGAAUAUUGGACAAUGGAGGAGACUCUGAUCCAGCCAUGCCGCGUGCAGGAAGAAUGCCCUAUGGGUAGUAAACUGCUUUUAUACGGGAAGAAAAAGAGCUACGUGUAGCUUACUGACGGUACCGUAAGAAUAAGGACCGGCUAACUCCGUGCCAGCAGCCGCGGUAAUACGGAGGGUCCGAGCGUUAUCCGGAAUUAUUGGGUUUAAAGGGUCCGUAGGCGGGCCGAUAAGUCAGGGGUGAAAGUUUGCAGCUCAACUGUAAAAUUGCCUUUGAUACUGUUGGUCUUGAGUUAUAGUGAAGUUGCCGGAAUAUGUAAGUGAGCGGUGAAAAUCAUAGAUAUUACAUUAGAACACCGAUUGCGAAGG
Molecule: ribosomal RNA, 681 nt
Filed under: Maribacter sp. R2-Sid-T25-18
Lineage: Bacteria; Pseudomonadati; Bacteroidota; Flavobacteriia; Flavobacteriales; Flavobacteriaceae
Description: bacterial SSU rRNA
Rfam family: Bacterial small subunit ribosomal RNA
Source: RNAcentral